GUCCUAGCCGUAAACGGUGAGCACUAGGUGUAGGAAGUAUCGACCCUUCCUGUGCCGCAGCUAACGCAUUAAGUGCUCCGCCUGGGGGAGUACGACCGCAAGGUUGAAACUCAAAGGAAUUGACGGGGGCCCGCACAAGCGGUGGAGCAUGUGGUUUAAUUCGAUGCAACGCGAAGAACCUUACCCAGACUUGACAUGUAUCGGACAGGUGUGGAAACACACCCUCCCUUCGGGGCCGGUGCACAGGUGCUGCAUGGCUGUCGU
This 264-nucleotide ribosomal RNA is filed under the name uncultured bacterium. RNAcentral describes it as "partial 16S ribosomal RNA". It matches the Rfam family "Bacterial small subunit ribosomal RNA", at positions 793 to 1055 of the family's 1533-position model. The record is from RNAcentral.